Molecule: ribosomal RNA, 411 nt
Filed under: uncultured bacterium
Lineage: Bacteria
Description: bacterial SSU rRNA
Rfam family: Bacterial small subunit ribosomal RNA
Source: RNAcentral
AACGAACGCUGGCGGCAUGCCUAACACAUGCAAGUCGAACGAGACCUUCGGGUCUAGUGGCGCACGGGUGCGUAACGCGUGGGAAUCUGCCCUUGGGUUCGGAAUAACAGUUAGAAAUGACUGCUAAUACCGGAUAAUGUCUUCGGACCAAAGAUUUAUCGCCCAGGGAUGAGCCCGCGUAGGAUUAGCUAGUUGGUGAGGUAAAGGCUCACCAAGGCGACGAUCCUUAGCUGGUCUGAGAGGAUGAUCAGCCACACUGGGACUGAGACACGGCCCAGACUCCUACGGAGGCAGCAGUGGGGAAUAUUGGACAAUGGGCGAAAGCCUGAUCCAGCAAUGCCGCGUGAGUGAUGAAGGCCUUAGGGUUGUAAAGCUCUUUUACCCGGGAUGAUAAUGACAGUACCGGGAGAA